Molecule: long non-coding RNA, 479 nt
Filed under: Nicotiana benthamiana
Lineage: Eukaryota; Viridiplantae; Streptophyta; Magnoliopsida; Solanales; Solanaceae
Description: long non-coding RNA (NBEN_LNC036407)
Source: RNAcentral
UUCAAUCUUCGCCCACAAGAAGUUCAGACGAUGAUGCUAUAAAUAGAGGCAAAGUGUUCAUUAGUUUCUUCAUCCUUAUCACAACUAACGUAAACUGCCCAUAAUGUUUUCAAGCAAGGACAAAAAAAUGGAAUUAAAUCCAUUUAUACUUAUUGUUUUGGCAAUUUUACUUGUGAUAACAUCUGAAGUUGCAGCUAGGGAUUUGGCUGAGAGCCCCACCAAUUCUAUGGACAAAGGUGAGAUUUCUUCAUUUCUAGACAAUCGACCUAUUCGCUUCCUACAUGCAAAAUAUUGUUUAGUACUCCUUUCGUCUCAUUUUAUUCGAUAGAUUUUGACUGGACAAAAAGUUUAGAAACUAAAGAAACAUUUUUUUAAAUUGAUGUUCUAACAUAAGUCAUUCUCGUAUAUGUGGUUGUAAAUCAUCUUAGUAGGAAUCGUUGGUUUGAAGACAAGUUAUGCAAGAAUUAGUUAUGUUCGAC